UACAGAGGGGGCAAGCGUUGUUCGGAAUUACUGGGCGUAAAGGGCGCGCAGGCGGCUCUGAAAGUCAGAUGUGAAAGCCCCGGGCUUAACCUGGGAAUUGCAUUUGAUACUCUGGAGCUUGAGUGUGGGAGAGGAGAGUGGAAUUCCCAGUGUAGAGGUGAAAUUCGUAGAUAUUGGGAAGAACACCGGUGGCGAAGGCGGCUCUCUGGACCACAACUGACGCUGAGGCGCGAAAGCGUGGGGAGCAAACAGG
This 253-nucleotide ribosomal RNA is filed under the name uncultured bacterium. RNAcentral's name for it is "partial 16S ribosomal RNA". It matches the Rfam family "Bacterial small subunit ribosomal RNA", at positions 524 to 776 of the family's 1533-position model. The record is from RNAcentral.